GUGGGGAAUAUUGGACAAUGGGCGAAAGCCUGAUCCAGCCAUGCCGCGUGUGUGAAGAAGGUCUUCGGAUUGUAAAGCACUUUAAGUUGGGAGGAAGGGCAGUAAGUUAAUACCUUGCUGUUUUGACGUUACCAACAGAAUAAGCACCGGCUAACUUCGUGCCAGCAGCCGCGGUAAUACGAAGGGUGCAAGCGUUAAUCGGAAUUACUGGGCGUAAAGCGCGCGUAGGUGGUUCAGCAAGUUGGAGGUGAAAUCCCCGGGCUCAACCUGGGAACUGCCUCCAAAACUACUGAGCUAGAGUACGGUAGAGGGUAGUGGAAUUUCCUGUGUAGCGGUGAAAUGCGUAGAUAUAGGAAGGAACACCAGUGGCGAAGGCGACUACCUGGACUGAUACUGACACUGAGGUGCGAAAGCGUGGGGAGCAAACAGGAUUAGAUACCCUAGUGUCC
This 449-nucleotide ribosomal RNA is filed under the name uncultured bacterium. Its description in RNAcentral is "partial 16S ribosomal RNA". It matches the Rfam family "Bacterial small subunit ribosomal RNA", at positions 354 to 796 of the family's 1533-position model. The record is from RNAcentral.